Molecule: small RNA, 94 nt
Filed under: Arabidopsis thaliana (thale cress)
Lineage: Eukaryota; Viridiplantae; Streptophyta; Magnoliopsida; Brassicales; Brassicaceae
Description: ATSL110700
Source: RNAcentral
UCCUUUUCCAGUGAAAACCAAUAUGUAUUGGGUCUGAAUGGAAGAACAGAGGAGUUACGGAUAUAAAGCAGAGCAGGACAAACACAAUUGUAUC